This 66-nucleotide transfer RNA is filed under the name Peirates atromaculatus. Its description in RNAcentral is "tRNA-Asp". It matches the Rfam family "tRNA". From Rfam's summary of the family: Transfer RNA (tRNA) molecules are approximately 80 nucleotides in length. The record is from RNAcentral. Lineage: Eukaryota; Metazoa; Arthropoda; Insecta; Hemiptera; Reduviidae.
AAAAAGUUAGUUUAAAAUAGAAAACAUAGCUUUGUCAAAGCUAAAAUACUAAUUUAGUACUUUUUA